GCUGAUUCAUGAAAUUUCCACGCCGUGUGGCUUUAAGCUGUUUACGCGAGCUCAGGAGGCGACAGCGAGGGGUAUUUUUAGCUCGCUGGGUAGCAGAGCGGGAUUAAAAUGCAGUCAGUGUUACAGACGCUGGGGCUGAAUCAGUAUUCCUGCACAAACCUCUCCGUGCCAGCAUCUUCCAUUGAGUGUCUGAAAAAGCCGAGUUUCCAUGGAGACCCGGCUCCAGGGCAACCCGAUUCCUCGCUAAAAGCAGCAGGUAGGAGCGGUGCGAGGCACAGCCACGCUCCAGCUGCAGGAAGAGAGAGCUGGCACAUCCCCAUCCUCGUAUGGGAUGCAGAGAGGAGGGCACCGGGCUGCAAGGAAAACAGCUUUGCCUGGCGACGAAAAGCCAAGCCAGCAGCACAAGCACCUGCACGGCGUACACGGACCCGCUUUUGCACCAGCUGGUGGGGAGGGACCAUUGUGUUCGACCACUUUGGCUUCCUGCAUGAGGUGGGCCGUGAAGUGCCGCGUGGCUCUAAGCCUUAUUAUUAUUAGCAUUUAUUACUGCGGAGGGAACGAGCACAGAAAGCGCGGCUCCGCGGGUGGGUGGCUUUUUAAAGCAAUCACCUACGGCCAUGCAACCUGUUAUGAAAACUCUCUGCGUAACCGAGAUGGAUCUGUUACGUGCACGGGAGAUGUGGGUACCAGAAGUCAGAGCCGGGCAAACCAGAGCUGCUCAUUUGCCCUUGGCACAGGGCUGAGUGCUGUCCCUGAUCCCCCUGAUGGUGAGCAGCGAGUCACGGUGCGAGUCAGCUCGUGUCCUUGGGAGUCCUCCAGGCAGCAGCGCUCAAUGGAGCGGGGAGAUGGGAGCCCUCGUGAAUCUUCAGCUCGGAGCAAUGAAGGCACCCAGUGUACCGGGACGGCAGCGCCAGAGCUGCCAUGAGCAAUGGGCAAGACAGGACCUGGUUUAGGUCAAGCCGGGCACCCGUCUGCAGACAGGAGAGAUGAAAAUGAGCUCUCGUCUUCUGCGGAGGAGAAGUUCCCGGGGAGAGCUGGAGGAAAAGCGAGGGGAAAUUAAGCAGAAAUAGCUUCGGGGUCAUUUAAAAAUAUCCCCACGGCUCCCUUACAUAUAUAUUUAGCAAGAAUUCAUCGUCCAUGGCUGAGGGAGCUCUAGGCACCGAAUGUUCGGAACGGCCUUUGAUGAAGACCCAUGGGAUCCUGCAUGGCUUGGAAGGGAGAGAGGUCGGGGGGAUGGAGGGGGCAGGUGAGGGCUGCAGGGUAGCUCCCAGCCCCCUACCCCCCACUGUGCCCACCCACGUGUUGAUGUGCUGAGGGGGGAUGUUUAGGGGAUGCCGAGCACUGGGAUGGCUGGCAGCAGCGUGGUGCUCUUCGCAUCACCCAGCCCGUUGGUUUUUGAGGUCCCAAAGUGUUUUCCAUCUCGUGCUGCUUCAGCAGGAAAAAGCACCCCUCGCUUCUAGGAGCAUCCUGGACCAAAGGAAGGUUCAAAAGACAGGUCUGGAUCUGCCGGAGCCCAUGAAUUAUUCAUCGCUUCUCCGAGUUGCAGAGGAUCCCAUUACGAGGUGCAGAAGGGUCUCCUUGAGCUGCGCAGCCCUGCCCAGAGCUGUCAGCUCAGAAACCCAAGAGCUGGAGGGAUCUCAGCUCGCGCCUUCCUUCCCCGGGGCCAACACUGCUCCCAUAGCAAAGGCAGGCGGGCUUUGACUUUGGGGCUCUGCCUGAAGGUUGGUGGGUGUCUCCUUACAGGCCUGAUUAUUGAUCGCCUCCUGCCUGAGUUCCCACCCCAUCCAGAUUGUAACUGCUGCCCUCGAGAUGACGAAUGGAGCUGCCAGCCUCUGAUUUAUUUUAAUUGCCAUCUUCCCUUCCCGCUAGCGGUGGAGAGGCACUGCGCUGGGGUGCUUGAGCUGGAGGCUCUGAGCGCAUCUGAGUGAUAUUAUUAUUAUUAUUUUGAGGCUGUCUGGG
RNAcentral lists this long non-coding RNA (1959 nucleotides) under Numida meleagris (helmeted guineafowl). Its description in RNAcentral is "lncRNA (ENSNMEG00000009193.1)". Lineage: Eukaryota; Metazoa; Chordata; Aves; Galliformes; Numididae. The record is from RNAcentral.